This is a long non-coding RNA of Apis dorsata (giant honeybee), 822 nucleotides long. RefSeq lists it as uncharacterized. The transcript has 3 exons. NCBI's taxonomy places the organism in Eukaryota, Metazoa, Arthropoda, Insecta, Hymenoptera, Apidae. The record is from RefSeq and is a predicted model, not a curated record.
CGUUUCAUUUUUUUUUGUUUAUUUCUCGUGUUUAUUCGUGAAUUUUUUCAAUUUUGGAAGAAACGUUCAACGUAACGAGGAUAUUGUUCGAAAAUUUGUUGUAGAAAUAAUGGAAAUUUGAAGUAAAUGGAGGGAGAAGGAUUUGGAUAAAAGAUUCAAGAAGAAGAAGAAGAAGAAGAAGAAAUGAAGAUAUUCGUAAUUCGUCUCGCCACUUGAACAAAAGCAAUUUAACGGUCUAAGCACGUACAAUGGAAUUUUUAAUUUAACGGAGAUUCGCAUAAGUGUAGGAGAGGAUGCCGAACGAUCGCCAAGUAACAUUAUUACUUACACGUACAUAUGUAAUUGGUAUCCGGUUAGAAGAGUAUUUCUGCAUUAGUUAUAACGAGUAGCCAACUAAUGCCAAGCGUGGCACGCAUUCACGAAGCACAAAGCAGACAGGUAAAGCUGCCGCGCGUUUGUUUCAACCACUGUAUUGCGGUCGGUUGGUAUCCGCUCACUUCGACCUUUAAAACUUUGCAUCGGUAAGACAUCAAAGGCCUCUGUUACACUCGUUGCUAUUGACACUGUGUACCCGUUUUCCCGCUGUAUAAAGGUGAAAUUGUGUAAUUGCAUUCUUCGCGAAAACAAGAGUUUCGUGAAGAAACGAGGUAAAUUAACUUAGCCAGUGUUUAAACGCUUUUAACGUGCUUUUAUUGGCUUCGUAGAAAUUUCAUUCAAACAAACACCGUUUCUCAAUUGUUUCUGAAUACAAGGAUCCUUGUUUCUUAAAAAUGAUUCCAAUAUUAUGUUAGACAGACAAAUCAGGAUCACAAGAAGAAUACG